Molecule: RNA transcript, 1203 nt
Organism: Hyaena hyaena (striped hyena)
Lineage: Eukaryota; Metazoa; Chordata; Mammalia; Carnivora; Hyaenidae
Gene: CUNH6orf201
Gene name: chromosome unknown C6orf201 homolog
Exons: 7
Source: RefSeq, a predicted model, not a curated record
CCGAGAUGGAGGAAGGUGUGGAGAAAGACCAGCUGUGGGGCACUCCACCCUUCCAACUCCUUAUUUGUUCUUUGUAACUCAGUGGGUCAUCAUGGGGACAGCUGAGAACAACCACAUUGUACUGAAACUUCCACUCCUUGACAAACCCAAGACACAGAAAAACUAUGCCCAACCUGAGGUUCUGAAUCACACCUUUGAGACUCUGUCUAACCUUCACAAACUGCUGCCAAAUCUUAUGAUGGAGACACUCUAUUCCUACAAGAGAGAAGCGGACAAACAAAAUUCUCAGAAUUCUGAAUUCUCUGGCUUAGAAAGGAUCUUAGCAAGACAUCAGUUUCCAAAAGAGAUUAAUCGGACCCCCAAUCCAAGUAGCAUGCCCCUGUGGAGAAGAAAAUCCAUCAACAAUGCAAAUCGUGGGUGGAGUAAAUGUCAAUUAUGGAAUAAAAGCCCUGAGGAGCCUCUGAUGUCAACCAUAGUUGUCAGAUGGUUGAAAAAGAACAUGCAACCUACCGAAGACCUCCAGUCGGUAAUCCAGAGGUUGUCAGUGUUUGGGCCAAUUAAGUCAGUUACCUUCUUUGGACGGCAAAGUGCUACUGUGGUGUUCCAAGACAUGACUUCAGCUUGUAAUGCUGUGAAUGCUUUUCAAAGUAGGACCCCAGGCACAAUGUUUCAGUGUUCCUGGCAACAGCGCUUCAUGUCAAAAGAUAAAACUUUUUCAAGAAGCUAUACUGCAAAGUCACAGCCUAAGGACUAUAAGCAAGAAAUUAAAAGAAAACACCAACCACAGCUUAAGGGACACAAACAGUCUAAGAUUCAUUAGAAGAAAAGAAAGAACUGGGGAAAUCUAACAUAAAUUAGAAAGAAGCAGAGGUCGCCCAUAAGUAGCGGGGAAUGAAGCCAGGAUUUGAACUCAAGUAGACCUGAGUCCUGAGCCUAAGCCCCCUACAUGCACAUGGUGCCCCUUCCAACUCAUCAGUCCAGGAAAGUAGCAGUGCUUGUGGGCCAUGGAGAACCUACUCAAAGCCAACUAAUUCGAAAUAACAAUUGCCCAAACUGGUCGUGUGAAGAAGUAGCCACCAUGACUCAUCUUCCUACACCAAAUCAAACAAGAGAUCACAAAAAGAGGAAUGAUGCUGAAACACUAUAAUUUUUGAGUGAAACUGACAGGGGAAGAACAGAAAGGCAGGAUAAAUUCCUAGGGCA